UACGUAGGUGGCAAGCGUUAUCCGGAUUUACUGGGUGUAAAGGGCGUGUAGGCGGGGACGCAAGUCAGAUGUGAAAACCACGGGCUCAACCUGUGGCCUGCAUUUGAAACUGUGUUUCUUGAGUACUGGAGAGGCAGACGGAAUUCCUAGUGUAGCGGUGAAAUGCGUAGAUAUUAGGAGGAACACCAGUGGCGAAGGCGGCCUACUGGACGGUGACUGACGCUGAGGCUCGAAAGCGUGGGGAGCAAACAGG
This 253-nucleotide ribosomal RNA is filed under the name uncultured bacterium. RNAcentral's name for it is "partial 16S ribosomal RNA". It matches the Rfam family "Bacterial small subunit ribosomal RNA", at positions 524 to 776 of the family's 1533-position model. The record is from RNAcentral.